RNAcentral lists this non-coding RNA (31 nucleotides) under Mus musculus (house mouse). Lineage: Eukaryota; Metazoa; Chordata; Mammalia; Rodentia; Muridae. The record is from RNAcentral. RNAcentral also lists the same sequence under 1 other name.
UUGGAAUUGGAGACACACUAGGAAUGGGACC